Molecule: ribosomal RNA, 322 nt
Filed under: uncultured bacterium
Lineage: Bacteria
Description: bacterial SSU rRNA
Rfam family: Bacterial small subunit ribosomal RNA
Source: RNAcentral
GACGAACGCUGGCGGCGUGCCUAAUACAUGCAAGUCGAACGCACGAAGUUGAAGAGCUUGCUCUUUAACCUAGUGAGUGGCGGACGGGUGAGUAACACGUGGGUAACCUGCCCAUUAGAGGGGGAUAACACUUGGAAACAGGUGCUAAUACCGCAUAAUUGUUUUAGCCGCAUGGCUGAGAUAUGAAAGACGCUUUCGGGUGUCACUAAUGGAUGGACCCGCGCUGCAUUAGUUAGUUGGUGAGGUAAUGGCUCACCAAGACCGUGAUGCAUAGCCGGCCUGAGAGGGUGAUCGGCCACACUGGGACUGAGACACGGCCCAG